CCCUUAGAUGUUCUGGGCCGCACGCGCGCUACACUGAUGAAUGCAACGAGCUCUACCCUUGACCGAAAGGCCCGGGUAAACUUGUGAAACUUCAUCGUGAUGGGGAUAGAUUAUUGCAAUUAUUAAUCUUCAACGAGGAAUUCCUAGUAAGCGCGAGUCAUCAGCUCGCGUUGAUUACGUCCCUGCCCUUUGUACACACCGCCCGUCGCUCCUACCGAUUGAAUGGUCCGGUGAAAUCUUCGGAUUGCUGACCAAGAUCCAGCAAUGGAGCUUGGUUGCGAGAAGUUGAUUAAACCUUAUUAUUUAGAGGAAGGAGCAGUCGUAACA
RNAcentral lists this ribosomal RNA (327 nucleotides) under uncultured eukaryote. Its description in RNAcentral is "partial 18S ribosomal RNA". It matches the Rfam family "Eukaryotic small subunit ribosomal RNA", at positions 1470 to 1796 of the family's 1831-position model. The record is from RNAcentral.